CUCCUCCCUCGGACCCCGCCCGUCGCCUCUUGUUGGAGAGGCAUUUCGACGGGCGGGGGCUGAGGCGU
This 68-nucleotide small RNA is filed under the name Sinorhizobium meliloti 2011. Its description in RNAcentral is "putative ncRNA". The record is from RNAcentral. Lineage: Bacteria; Pseudomonadati; Pseudomonadota; Alphaproteobacteria; Hyphomicrobiales; Rhizobiaceae.